This 566-nucleotide ribosomal RNA is filed under the name Blautia wexlerae. RNAcentral's name for it is "bacterial SSU rRNA". It matches the Rfam family "Bacterial small subunit ribosomal RNA", at positions 1 to 567 of the family's 1533-position model. The record is from RNAcentral. Lineage: Bacteria; Bacillati; Bacillota; Clostridia; Lachnospirales; Lachnospiraceae.
UUAAUCAGAGAGUUUGAUCCUGGCUCAGGAUGAACGCUGGCGGCGUGCUUAACACAUGCAAGUCGAACGGGAAAUAUUUCAUUGAGACUUCGGUGGAUUUGAUCUAUUUCUAGUGGCGGACGGGUGAGUAACGCGUGGGUAACCUGCCUUAUACAGGGGGAUAACAGUCAGAAAUGGCUGCUAAUACCGCAUAAGCGCACAGAGCUGCAUGGCUCAGUGUGAAAAACUCCGGUGGUAUAAGAUGGACCCGCGUUGGAUUAGCUGGUUGGUGGGGUAACGGCCCACCAAGGCGACGAUCCAUAGCCGGCCUGAGAGGGUGAACGGCCACAUUGGGACUGAGACACGGCCCAGACUCCUACGGGAGGCAGCAGUGGGGAAUAUUGCACAAUGGGGGAAACCCUGAUGCAGCGACGCCGCGUGAAGGAAGAAGUAUCUCGGUAUGUAAACUUCUAUCAGCAGGGAAGAUAGUGACGGUACCUGACUAAGAAGCCCCGGCUAACUACGUGCCAGCAGCCGCGGUAAUACGUAGGGGGCAAGCGUUAUCCGGAUUUACUGGGUGUAAAGGG